Molecule: non-coding RNA, 202 nt
Filed under: uncultured Ruminococcus sp.
Lineage: Bacteria; Bacillati; Bacillota; Clostridia; Eubacteriales; Oscillospiraceae
Description: malK-I RNA
Rfam family: malK-I RNA
Source: RNAcentral
AGCGAUCACUCCACAUUAUGAACGUUCGUACAUAAAAGAAGGAGGAUUAUUACCGUUAGCUUGCGGUGCGGCAGCGUGGAGACCUGUCGUAAUGCGGUGCAUUUCAACACCGGUCAUCGGAAAACCGUUUUCCCGUUAUCGGAUGAAAAUGCCGCGAGGCGGUUUUGGAGGAGUCCUGACCGUCAGAGCACGAUUAAAUGUC